Molecule: ribosomal RNA, 440 nt
Filed under: uncultured ammonia-oxidizing bacterium
Lineage: Bacteria
Description: bacterial SSU rRNA
Rfam family: Bacterial small subunit ribosomal RNA
Source: RNAcentral
UUGCGCUCUUGGAGCGGCCGAUGUCUGAUUAGCUAGUUGGUGAGGUAAUGGCUUACCAAGGCGACGAUCAGUAGCUGGUCUGAGAGGACGACCAGCCACACUGGGACUGAGACACGGCCCAGACUCCUACGGGAGGCAGCAGUGGGGAAUUUUGGACAAUGGGGGAAACCCUGAUCCAGCCAUGCCGCGUGAGUGAAGAAGGCCUUCGGGUUGUAAAGCUCUUUCAGCCGGAACGAAACGGUCACGGCUAAUACCUGUGAUCACUGACGGUACCGGAAGAAGAAGCACCGGCUAACUACGUGCCAGCAGCCGCGGUAAUACGUAGGGUGCGAGCGUUAAUCGGAAUUACUGGGCGUAAAGCGUGCGCAGGCGGUUUUGUAAGUCAGAUGUGAAAUCCCCGGGCUUAACCUGGGAACUGCGUUUGAAACUACAAGGCUAGA